GAGAGGUGGCAGAGUGGUCGAAUGCGCCGGUCUUGAAAACCGAUGUACCGAGAGGUACCGGGGGUUCGAAUCCCUCCCUCUCC
Molecule: transfer RNA, 83 nt
Filed under: marine eukaryotic metagenome
Rfam family: tRNA
About the family: Transfer RNA (tRNA) molecules are approximately 80 nucleotides in length.
Source: RNAcentral